RNAcentral lists this ribosomal RNA (468 nucleotides) under uncultured bacterium. Its description in RNAcentral is "partial 16S ribosomal RNA". It matches the Rfam family "Bacterial small subunit ribosomal RNA", at positions 28 to 507 of the family's 1533-position model. The record is from RNAcentral.
GACGAACGCUGGCGGCGUGCUUAACACAUGCAAGUCGAACGGAAAGGCCCUGCUUUUGUGGGGUGCUCGAGUGGCGAACGGGUGAGUAACACGUGAGUAACCUGCCCUUGACUUUGGGAUAACUUCAGGAAACUGGGGCUAAUACCGGAUAGGGGCUCCUGCUGCAUGGUGGGGGUUGGAAAGUUUCGGCGGUUGGGGAUGGACUCGCGGCUUAUCAGCUUGUUGGUGGGGUAGUGGCUUACCAAGGCUUUGACGGGUAGCCGGCCUGAGAGGGUGACCGGCCACAUUGGGACUGAGAUGCGGCCCGGACUCAUACGGGAGGCAGCAGUGGAGAAGAGUGCACAAUGGGCGGAAGCCUGAUGCAGCAACGCCACGUGGGGGAUAACGGCCUUCGGGUUGUAAACCGCUUUCGCCUGUGACGAAGCGUGAGUGACGGUAAUGGGUAAAGAAGCACCGGCUAACUACGUG